RNAcentral lists this ribosomal RNA (253 nucleotides) under uncultured bacterium. RNAcentral describes it as "partial 16S ribosomal RNA". It matches the Rfam family "Bacterial small subunit ribosomal RNA", at positions 524 to 776 of the family's 1533-position model. The record is from RNAcentral.
UACGUAGGGUGCAAGCGUUGUCCGGAAUUAUUGGGCGUAAAGAGCUCGUAGGCGGUCUGUCGCGUCUGCUGUGAAAACUCAGGGCUUAACCCUGAGCUUGCAGUGGGUACGGGCAGACUAGAGUGCAGAAGGGGCAACUGGAAUUCUCGGUGUAGCGGUGAAAUGCGUAGAUAUCGAGAGGAACACCUGCGGCGAAGGCGGGUUGCUGGGCUGACACUGACGCUGAGGCGCGAAAGCUAGGGGAGCGAACGGG